Molecule: long non-coding RNA, 447 nt
Organism: Myotis davidii
Lineage: Eukaryota; Metazoa; Chordata; Mammalia; Chiroptera; Vespertilionidae
Exons: 3
Source: RefSeq, a predicted model, not a curated record
AGUUGGACAACGAGGACAUGCCUUGUGAUUGCUUCCGUGUUUCUCCGUUGAGAUAGGUUCACCGGCUCAGAGGAAGGGUUGAAACUCGAUCUCCAGUGUGAUGGUAUUUGGAGUUGGAGCCUUGAAAGGUGAUUAGAUCAUGAGAGCAGAGUCCUCCUGAAUGGGAUUAGUGACGUUACAAAACAGCUCCCUAGCCCCCCUGACAUGUGAGGACACAGAGAGAAGACAGCCAUCUCUGAACCAGGACGCAGGUUCUCACCAGAAACUCAAAUGCUUGCUGAAUUGAGUUGAAAUAGAAGUAAAAGAGAAUUUGGUGAAGGAGUUAGAAAUAGAGAAGGAGUCUUCAGAAAGAGAAGUAUGUGCCUGGCACAGAGAAGAUCCUCAAAAAUAGUAGUUGCACUGAUUUGAAACACCCGAGUACAAUAUCGAAAGGGAAAUAACUAAAAC